AGCUUAUUGAAUUCUCUAUAAUAAGUUAUUUCUGCCCAGUGGUUCCACUAAACGGCCGCGGUACCCUAACCGUGCAAAGGUAGCAUAAUCACUUGCCUUUUAAUUGAAGGCUAGAAUGAAUGAAUAAACGUUAAUCUCCCUUUUCCGCAUAUUAAUUUAAAAAUUAUUCUCCAGGUGAAGAAACCUGGAUUUUAUAAAAAGACAAGAAGACCCUAUCAAGCUUCAUACUUAAAAAACCUUUUUAUAGUGUAUUUGGUUGGGGCGACUAAUGGAGAUUUCUAUUCCUCCAUAGAUACUAUGAUAAAUGCAUCUCAACGCUUAAUAAUUUAAAAUAUAAAAGCUACUGUAGGGAUAACAGGCUAAUAUUCUCUAAGAGUUCAAAUUAAAGAGAAUGAUUGGCACCUCGAUGUUGGCUUAGGGCCCCUACACCCCGCAGAAGGGGUGUCAGGUAGUUUGUUCAACUAUUAAACCCCU
This 474-nucleotide ribosomal RNA is filed under the name Proceraea paraurantiaca. Its description in RNAcentral is "partial 16S ribosomal RNA". It matches the Rfam family "Bacterial large subunit ribosomal RNA", at positions 1828 to 2597 of the family's 2925-position model. Lineage: Eukaryota; Metazoa; Annelida; Polychaeta; Phyllodocida; Syllidae. The record is from RNAcentral.